Molecule: ribosomal RNA, 529 nt
Filed under: uncultured bacterium
Lineage: Bacteria
Description: bacterial SSU rRNA
Rfam family: Bacterial small subunit ribosomal RNA
Source: RNAcentral
GUACAUCCAGAGAAUUUAGCAGAGAUGCUUUAGUGCCUUCGGGAACUCUGAGACAGGUGCUGCAUGGCUGUCGUCAGCUCGUGUUGUGAAAUGUUGGGUUAAGUCCCGNAACGAGCGCAACCCUUAUCCCUUUGUUGCCAGCACGUAAUGGUGGGAACUCAAAGGAGACUGCCGGUGAUAAACCGGAGGAAGGUGGGGAUGACGUCAAGUCAUCAUGGCCCUUACGAGUAGGGCUACACACGUGCUACAAUGGCGCAUACAAAGAGAAGCGACCUCGCGAGAGCAAGCGGACCUCAUAAAGUGCGUCGUAGUCCGGAUUGGAGUCUGCAACUCGACUCCAUGAAGUCGGAAUCGCUAGUAAUCGUAAAUCAGAAUGUUACGGUGAAUACGUUCCCGGGCCUUGUACACACCGCCCGUCACACCAUGGGAGUGGGUUGCAAAAGAAGUAGAUAGCUUAACCUUCGGGAGGGCGUUUACCACUUUGUGAUUCAUGACUGGGGUGAAGUCGUAACAAGGUAGGCGUAGUGCU